AACGAACGCUGGCGGCAUGCCUAACACAUGCAAGUCGAACGAGACCUUCGGGUCUAGUGGCGCACGGGAGCGUAACGCGUGGGAACCUGCCCUUAGGUUCGGAAUAACUCCCCGAAAGGGGUGCUAAUACCGGAUAAUGUCUUCGGACCAAAGAUUUAUCGCCUUUGGAUGGGCCCGCGUUGUAUUAGCUAGUUGGUAGGGUAAAAGCCUACCAAGGCGACGAUCCAUAGCUGGUCUGAGAGGAUGAUCAGCAACACUGGGACUGAGACACGGCCCAGACUCCUACGGGAGGCAGCAGUGGGGAAUAUUGGACAAUGGGCGAAAGCCUGAUCCAGCAAUGCCGCGUGAGUGAUGAAGGCCUUAGGGUUGUAAAGCUCUUUUACCCGGGAUGAUAAUGACAGUACCGGGAGAAUAAGCUCCGGCUAACUACGUG
Molecule: ribosomal RNA, 433 nt
Filed under: uncultured bacterium
Lineage: Bacteria
Description: partial 16S ribosomal RNA
Rfam family: Bacterial small subunit ribosomal RNA
Source: RNAcentral